This 326-nucleotide ribosomal RNA is filed under the name uncultured bacterium. RNAcentral's name for it is "bacterial SSU rRNA". It matches the Rfam family "Bacterial small subunit ribosomal RNA", at positions 28 to 334 of the family's 1533-position model. The record is from RNAcentral.
GAUGAACGCUGGCGGCGUGCCUAACACAUGCAAGUCGAACGAAGCUUGCGGAUUGGAAUCCUCCGGGAGGAAGAACCGUAAGACUGAGUGGCGGACGGGUGAGUAACGCGUGGGUAACCUGCCCUGUACAGGGGGACAACAGCCGGAAACGGCUGCUAAUACCGCAUAAGCCUGCGGCGGCGCAUGCCGCUGCAGGGAAAACUCCGGUGGUACAGGAUGGGCCCGCGUCUGAUUAGCUGGUUGGCGGGGUAACGGCCCACCAAGGCGACGAUCAGUAGCCGGCUUGAGAGAGUGAACGGCCACAUUGGGACUGAGACACGGCCCAA